This 462-nucleotide ribosomal RNA is filed under the name uncultured bacterium. RNAcentral's name for it is "partial 16S ribosomal RNA". It matches the Rfam family "Bacterial small subunit ribosomal RNA", at positions 28 to 507 of the family's 1533-position model. The record is from RNAcentral.
GACGAACGCUGGCGGCGUGCUUAACACAUGCAAGUCGAGCGGAAAGGCCCUUCGUGGUUGUCGUGCGGCGAACGGGUGAGUAACACGUGAGUAACCUGCCCUAGGCUUUGGGAUAACCCCGGGAAAACGGGGCUAAUACCGGAUAUGACCUGGUGCCGCAUGUGGUUGGGGGGAAAGGUUUUGCGGCCUGGGAUGGGCUCGCGGCCUAUGAGCUUGUUGGUGGGGGUAUGGCCUACCAAGGCGAUGACGGGUAGCCGGCCUGAGAGGGCGACCGGCCACACUGGGACUGAGACACGGCCCAGACUCCUACGGGAGGCAGCAGUGGGGAAUAUUGCACAAUGGGCGGAAGCCUGAUGCAGCGACGCCGUGUGAGGGAUGAAGGCCUUCGGGUUGUAAACCGCUUUCGGCAGGGACGAAGCGUGAGUGACGGUACCUGAAGAAGAAGCGCCGGCUAACUACGUG